UAGUCUUGUACAGAUGUUAGAUGAUUCGUGUUACAACUAUUCAGGCCCUUAUCAAGGCAGAAUGAUUUCAAAUUUUAGACUAUCUCUUAGCUUAUUGUUCUAAUCAAUUAUGUAGUUUCUUUGAAAUCAAACAUUUUAUGGUGUUAUCUGUUACAACUAGGCUUAUAUUGGUGAUAAGGGCUUUGUUUGAUGGCUUGAGAUCCCAUAGUGAAACUAAACGGGUAAUCUUGAUGUGUA
This is a long non-coding RNA of Helianthus annuus (common sunflower), 237 nucleotides long. RefSeq lists it as uncharacterized. The transcript has 2 exons. Lineage: Eukaryota; Viridiplantae; Streptophyta; Magnoliopsida; Asterales; Asteraceae. The record is from RefSeq and is a predicted model, not a curated record.